RNAcentral lists this ribosomal RNA (253 nucleotides) under uncultured bacterium. Its description in RNAcentral is "partial 16S ribosomal RNA". It matches the Rfam family "Bacterial small subunit ribosomal RNA", at positions 524 to 776 of the family's 1533-position model. The record is from RNAcentral.
UACGGAGGGUGCAAGCGUUAUCCGGAUUUACUGGGUUUAAAGGGUGCGUAGGCGGGCCCUUAAGUCAGUGGUGAAAGCUCCGAGCUUAACUCGGAAACUGCCAUUGAUACUAUAGGUCUUGAAUUCGGUCGAGGUUGGCGGAAUGUGUCGUGUAGCGGUGAAAUGCUUAGAUAUGACAUAGAACACCAAUUGCGAAGGCAGCUCACUACACAAUCAUUGACGCUGAGGCACGAAAGCGUGGGGAUCAAACAGG